GAUGAACGCUGGCGGCGUGCUUAACACAUGCAAGUCGAACGGGAAUUACUUUAUUGAAACUUCGGUCGAUUUAAUUUAAUUCUAGUGGCGGACGGGUGAGUAACGCGUGGGUAACCUGCCUUAUACAGGGGGAUAACAGUCAGAAAUGACUGCUAAUACCGCAUAAGCGCACAGAGCUGCAUGGCUCAGUGUGAAAAACUCCGGUGGUAUAAGAUGGACCCGCGUUGGAUUAGCUAGUUGGUGAGGUAACGGCCCACCAAGGCGACGAUCCAUAGCCGGCCUGAGAGGGUGAACGGCCACAUUGGGACUGAGACACGGCCCAGACUCCUACGGGAGGCAGCAGUGGGGAAUAUUGCACAAUGGGGGAAACCCUGAUGCAGCGACGCCGCGUGAAGGAAGAAGUAUCUCGGUAUGUAAACUUCUAUCAGCAGGGAAGAAAAUGACGGUAC
This 449-nucleotide ribosomal RNA is filed under the name uncultured bacterium. Its description in RNAcentral is "bacterial SSU rRNA". It matches the Rfam family "Bacterial small subunit ribosomal RNA", at positions 28 to 478 of the family's 1533-position model. The record is from RNAcentral.